GAUUAACGCUGGCGGCGUGCAUAACACAUGCAAGUCGAACGAUGAAACUUAGUAGACUUCUUCGGAAAGACACUAAGCGGAUUAGUGGCGAACGGGUGAGUAACGCGUGAGUAACCUGCCUUACACAAGGGGAUAGCCUUUGGAAACGAAGAAUAAUACCCUAUAAAACUAUAAAAGCACAUGCUAGAAUGGUCAAAGUGCUAGCGGUGUAAGAUGGACUUGCGUCUGAUUAGCUAGUUGGUGAGAUAAAAGCUCACCAAGGCAACGAUCAGUAGCCGGCUUGAGAGGGUGUACGGCCACAUUGGGACUGAGACACGGCCCAGACUCCUACGGGAGGCAGCAGUGGGGAAUUUUGUACAAUGGGGGAAACCCUGAUGCAGCGACGCCGCGUGAUUUAGAAGGCCUUCGGGUUGUAAAAAUCUUUUGUAUAGGAAGAAAAUGACAGUACUAUACGAAUAAGGUCCGGCUAAUUACGUG
RNAcentral lists this ribosomal RNA (477 nucleotides) under uncultured bacterium. RNAcentral describes it as "partial 16S ribosomal RNA". It matches the Rfam family "Bacterial small subunit ribosomal RNA", at positions 28 to 507 of the family's 1533-position model. The record is from RNAcentral.